RNAcentral lists this non-coding RNA (161 nucleotides) under uncultured Barnesiella sp. Lineage: Bacteria; Pseudomonadati; Bacteroidota; Bacteroidia; Bacteroidales; Barnesiellaceae. The record is from RNAcentral.
GGUUCGGCCGGUAAAGCCGAUUAAAAGGGAAUCGGGUGCAAGUCCCGAACAGUCCCGCUGCUGUGAACUCCAAACAAAAGGUGCCGGGAAGGACGUCACUGAUUUUGAUAAUCGGGAAGGCCUCGGUAGCCGGAGUAAGUCAGAAGACCUGCCGUGCGUAU